Homo sapiens (human) is the source of this 2388-nucleotide long non-coding RNA. The record is from Ensembl. NCBI's taxonomy places the organism in Eukaryota, Metazoa, Chordata, Mammalia, Primates, Hominidae.
ACUGUCAAAUGCUCCUUCAGGCCACUAAAUCACCACAGUAAGAUCAUAGCUUCAGGACCUAAGUAGCUCCUGGGGAUGGGAAAGAGAUGACUGACUGAGGUGGUUGAUGGGAUUCUUACAGCAACAAAGCACCAUCUUGGAAGCAGAGAGCCACCCUCACCAGAACUGAAUGCAGGCACCGUGACCUUGAACUUCCCAGCCUCCAGAACUUGCUGCCAGGACCUGCAGAACUCCAGAUGGAUUCCCCUGGCUGACACUUGAAAGAUUUUUGCUCUAACUUAAUAGAAAUGACAGACUGGCAAAGCCAUAGUUAAAUCAGCUGGAGGAGCCACAAAUCAAAUCAUCUUUACAGAAAGAUGUGAGUGCACAUGGAAAUUUAUGGAGUCUCUCAGCAUUGUAGAAGAGCCUCUGUUUCUUCUCACUGGUUCCUGUCCUCCUCAGCUUGGUAUAUAACUCCUGAGGGCUGAAUACCUGGUUGCUGAAGGAUCCAGUCCCUGCCCUAUAACCGAGGAAGAAUUUCUACUUCCCCUUCCUGUCCAGAAGUGAUAUUCCCAGGUAUCACCUUUUUCUCUCCUGCCCUAUGGACUUCAGAUAUAUCUAUCUGCCUUUCACUAUGACAAUAAAUGUCACUGAUUUGCUUUAAUGGUAGAAAAGACUACAGAGAGAGAGAGUAAAAAUAAAAAAUGUAUUAAUAUGGGAGAAUAUACACCCAGAGGAAUUUUUGAAAAUAGUUUCUCCAUCACAGAAGCAAAACUAGAGCUGGGUGGUUUAUACUGGGUGAUAUAGUUUGGCUGUGUCCCUACCCAAAUCUCACCUUGAAUUGUAAUAAUUCCCAUGUGUCAAGUGUGGGACCAGGUAGAGAUAAUUGAAUCAUGGGGGUGGUUUUCCCCAUACCGUUCUCACGGUAAUGAAUAAGUCUCAUGAGAUCUGAUGGUUUUAUAAAUGGGAGUUCCCCUGCACAAGCUGUCUUGCCUGCUGUCAUGUAAGAUGUGACUUUGCUCCUCAUUCACCUUCUGCCAUGACUGUGAGGCUUCCCCAGCCAUGUGGAACUGUGAGUCAAUCAAACCUCCUUCCUGUAUAAAUUACCUAGUCUCAGGUAUGUCUUUAUUAGCAGUGUGAGAACAGACUAAUACUAUCUCCUCCUGUAGAUAGCAAAGGAGUGAUUCUACUGCAUUAACAUUAAUCUCAUGAAUUUAGCAUCAUUCCAGUCCUGGUUUUAGCUCAAGCCUAAUUGGAGGAGAGUAGACAGCAACCAGCUGUAAUACAAAAAGCAACCAUUUGGAAUCAGAGCUAGAUUCAAAUCCAGGUCUCAUCACUUCAUACAAUGUUACCUUUGGGCAAGUUAUUCUGUCUCUUUGGGCUUCAAGUGGCCUUUCCAAAAUGUCAUCUACAUCAUAAAAGUGUUGCUGAUAUUCAGUGAAAUAUUCCAUAUGAAACCCCUCACAAAGGACCAGGAACAUAGUAAGUCUAAAUACAUGUUUGUUUCCAUUCCUCCACCAUUUUCCUUUAUAAGAUGAAGUGAGAAAUUAUAUGCUCUCUGGGAAAUGGCUAUCUGCAAAGACUUGUGGCAUUCUACUUUCUGGAUAUAUUGCCUUAUGUCUGGCAAACUGUACUGAUUAAAACUUUGAACAGAAGAAGGAAAAACUAAUUUGGAAGGGCUAAUCAAGACUCUCCAUAGUCCAAAAGGGAUGAUUUCUCAGUUGUGCAGAGAACCAAUAAACCUCCAUCCUGAGGACAAAAGUAAUUUUGUGAAACUGCAUGAAGUUUCUCUAGAGAGAGAGACUUCACAAAGCCCAGUGGUCACAGCUGUGCAGUGGAACCGAACUACUUUGAAUCUCUGCCAUCAAAGGAAAGAAUCUCAGGAUUUUCUGCUACAGAAGCAUGAUCGUGUUUAAAUUCUUAAAAUGCUGCAUUAGCAAGAAUUCUCCACAGAAACAGACUCUCUCUCUAGAGUUGAGAGAGAGAGAGAGUUAAUAUAGGAAUUGGCUCAUGGGACAAUGGAGGCCAAGAAGUUCCAGAAUCUGAUGUCUGCAAGCCAGCAAACAAAGCCAAUAAUGUAAUUUAGUCUGAGUUCAAAGGCCCAAGAAUGGAGGUACUGAUGGUAUAAUUCCUGAUCUGAGUCUAAAGGCCCAAGAACCAGGAACACUCAUGUUAACAGAAAAUGAAUAGGCCAGGUGCAGUGGCUCACACCUGUAAUCCCAGCACUUUGGGUGGCUGAGGCCGGCAGAUCCAUCGAGGUCAGGAGUUUGAGACCAGCCUGACCAACAUGGUGAAACCCUGUCUCUACUAAAAAUACAAAAAUUAGCUAGAUAUGGUGGUGUGUGCCUGUAGUCCCAGCUACUUGGGAGGAUGAGCCACAAGAAUGAACCCAAGAGGCAGAGGUUGCAG